UACAGAGGGGGCAAGCGUUGUUCGGAAUUACUGGGCGUAAAGGGCGCGUAGGCGGCCUUCUAAGUCGAACGUGAAAUCCCCGGGCUCAACCCGGGAACUGCGUCCGAUACUGGAAGGCUUGAGUAUGGGAGAGGUAAGCGGAAUUCCUGGUGUAGCGGUGAAAUGCGUAGAUAUCAGGAGGAACACCUGCGGUGUAGACGGCUUACUGGACCAUAACUGACGCUGAGGCACGAAAGCGUGGGUAGCAAACAGG
Molecule: ribosomal RNA, 253 nt
Filed under: uncultured bacterium
Lineage: Bacteria
Description: partial 16S ribosomal RNA
Rfam family: Bacterial small subunit ribosomal RNA
Source: RNAcentral